GCCACAUUAACCGCUUGGCGGCGCUUGACCUUUUAGAAGAAAGGUCCACCUUGCGAAAGGGGUGCUUUGGUUUAAUUUAUGUAGUGUUGUAUUCCGCAUGACAUUAAUAUCAUGAAUCAGCUUUAAGAAGUACCUAGCUCUAAUAUCUUCUAGUGGCGAACCCACAAAUCAUUCAGCGAAACCAAAGAAUCCAUCACUAGUAGGCCCUUACGAUGCUCUAGUUGUUAAGGCCGACAACUCGACCCUGGAAUUUUUUCGCAAAACCUGUUUUACCAAUGACAUCAUACUCAACAGUAAAUAUAGAGACGUAGAUGGAAGAAGAACGAUUGUACUCUGAUGACGUAUCUUCUGCCUUUUGAUGGAAACUGAGUUUAGAAGCUUACCAAACCCAACUUAGCUGUUUAUCGAGACUUCGUCAAGAAGUGAUAUACUUACAUAAACUGUUGAGCAAACAACAAGAGACCAUACACGCACUUAAGUCGGAGAACAAACGACUAUACAACAAACUAAAGAAAG
This is a long non-coding RNA of Limulus polyphemus (Atlantic horseshoe crab), 516 nucleotides long. RefSeq lists it as uncharacterized. The record is from RefSeq and is a predicted model, not a curated record. The transcript is spliced from 5 exons. Lineage: Eukaryota; Metazoa; Arthropoda; Merostomata; Xiphosura; Limulidae.